Molecule: ribosomal RNA, 429 nt
Filed under: Verrucomicrobiota bacterium
Lineage: Bacteria; Pseudomonadati; Verrucomicrobiota
Description: Verrucomicrobia bacterium partial 16S ribosomal RNA
Rfam family: Bacterial small subunit ribosomal RNA
Source: RNAcentral
UAGGGAAUCUUCGGCAAUGGGGGGAACCCUGACCGAGCAACGCCGCGUGAGUGAAGAAGGUUUUCGGAUCGUAAAGCUCUGUUGUUAAGGAAGAACGAGUGUGAGAAUGGAAAGUUCAUGCUGUGACGGUACUUAACCAGAAAGGGACGGCUAACUACGUGCCAGCAGCCGCGGUAAUACGUAGGUCCCGAGCGUUGUCCGGAUUUAUUGGGCGUAAAGCGAGCGCAGGCGGUUUUUUAAGUCAGGUGUCAAAGCGUGGAGCUUAACUCCAUUAAGCACUUGAAACUGAAAGACUUGAGUGAAGGAGAGGAAAGUGGAAUUCCUAGUGUAGCGGUGAAAUGCGUAGAUAUUAGGAGGAAUACCGGUGGCGAAGGCGACUUUCUGGACUUUUACUGACGCUCAGGUACGAAAGCGUGGGGAGCAAACAGG